Molecule: unclassified non-coding RNA, 936 nt
Filed under: Bombus terrestris (buff-tailed bumblebee)
Lineage: Eukaryota; Metazoa; Arthropoda; Insecta; Hymenoptera; Apidae
Description: misc RNA ENSBTSG00005031492.1
Source: RNAcentral
GAGUAAUAGUACUUUUUGUUGCAACGAACAAUUACUGCUUAUCUUUUCGCGCUUACAUUGUAAAAGACAUUGUAGACUUCGCUCAGCUCUAUGUCACUAGUCCAGAAUUUCUGCACAUUUUCAAGAUUGUUGAUAAAGUUUUUAAUAUUCGUUACCUUACAUUACGCAAUGGAGCAUUCAUACUGGAUAAACUAUUUUCACAGAUGCGGUACAAACAAUGUUGAACGAAGCAGUGUUAAAUUAUGCAGACAUGCCUCCUGAUGCUGCAGCUCCUGCUGUUCUUUCUGGAGCUGGAUAUAUGUGUCGUCAAGUGGAUGACUUUUGGGUUGAUCUUCUUCUUUGGGUGACUCUGGUUGUGACAUGGGCAAAUUCAGCUGUAGUUCUACAAAUACAUAUAAAUUGUUUUUAAACCGUGACCGCAGAUAAUGAUAAGAAGGUAUUGCCCAUUAGAAUGCAACGUGUUUGUCUGCAAUCAGACUGGUACAUGCCUCUAACUAGCUACGGAUCCAACGAGAGCGAAGGAUAUGAGCGUAUAACAAAAUGAAUCAAUCUACGCAAUCGAUAUUAUUCUAGUAACUCGUUCUUCCCGAAGCAUCUAUUCACGCUUCUGUGUACUAUGUUUUUGUACCAUCUAUGAAAUUUUAAUAAAAGAAGCGUCUUGUAUCUCGUACGUAACGUACAGUUAAAAAGUUAAUUCACUGUAAUUCAAAUUUUAAUAUUAGGACCAACGUUUGUCUUUAGUAGGUUGUUUCAUUUCUCCAAUAAAUUAAUGGAAAAAUUAGUCAUGAAAGUAACACUUUCAUUUUAAUAUAUGAAUGGUAUAGUUUAAUGAUUCAUAGCAAAUUUUAAGGAAUAUUUAUUUAGUUAGAAAGAAAACAGAGAUUUUCUCCGAUCGAUUGUACGCAUCAUAGUUUCUAUGUGGGAUGCAGUAUUCUU